This 32-nucleotide non-coding RNA is filed under the name Syntrophotalea carbinolica DSM 2380. Lineage: Bacteria; Pseudomonadati; Thermodesulfobacteriota; Desulfuromonadia; Desulfuromonadales; Syntrophotaleaceae. The record is from RNAcentral.
CUCGAACACAUGAAAAUUCUUGAGGUGUGCAA